This is an RNA transcript of Arachis duranensis, 2340 nucleotides long. RefSeq lists it as uncharacterized. The transcript is spliced from 3 exons. The record is from RefSeq and is a predicted model, not a curated record. NCBI's taxonomy places the organism in Eukaryota, Viridiplantae, Streptophyta, Magnoliopsida, Fabales, Fabaceae.
UUUACCCAGAUGAAACCCAGCUGCCGCCUUACUUCCUUCAGCCACCAAGAUUCCUUUUUUCCCAAACCUUCCCAAACCCACGCAGCAAAACAGCAAACUCAUGGAAGAAAGAAAAAAAGAGAAAGAGGGAAGGAGAGAUGGGGGACUGAAGGAAGAGAAGAAAGAAAGGGAGAAUGGAGAAGAGAGGGAGACGACGCCGGUGGGCCUCACUGCCACCAUCGCCGUCGCUGUGCCGUCGGGAGGGAGAUCCGAGAGAGAGGAAGAGAGCACCGAUGAGGGAGAGCGUCGGGGAGGAAGUAGCUUGCUGCCGCCUUGGCGUCCUGCUGCUCGCGUCAUCACCGCCAGCUUCGUCGGAUCCUUACCGCCGAACCCGUUCUUGCCGCCGCCGUUGGAAUCACGAACAGGGGAAGGAGAAGACGCGGGCCAGUGCCGCGAGGAGGAGUGCGACCCGCUACACAACGCUGCGCCGCCGUGUGUUGUUGCCGUCGCCGAGCUCCCAUGGUUGCCGCCGGCAAGAUUCAAAGGGAGAGAAGCUCAAGGAGAGAGAAAGAUCGGCGGAGGAGGUUUUUGUUCGAGCGGCCGUGCCUCCACCGCCUUUCACCGUUGCAGAUCCGCCACCGUCCACCGCGCCGCACCACGCCACGUCGCCGCCGGAAACUGCUACUGAGGCCUAAGUCUGUUUGGUUAUACAGUCACCACUGUUGCUUGUGUGGCUACGCCGUGGUGAUUAUAGCUGCCGCCACAGUCACCGCCUGAAUGCCCUGGAAUUUCUAUUGUCUUGCCCAAAUUCAAGUCUAGUGUCACUACCCUGUGUUGUUCCUGCAUUUAAUUUCAUCAAAUUCGAAUCCUGCUGCAACCAUUGUCAUUACCGUAGGAAAAUUAACGCUGCUGCGAAUUAGGAAGGAAAGGGGAUUGUCGCGUUUAAAUUACACGAUCUUGGCUAAUCAAGGUAGGGGUUUUUCUUAAAAUCUAAUUCAUAUUACAGAGUUGUGAUAAAUAGAUAUUAAUGUGAGAGAACAUAUGCCUGUGAUUAUAAUUGCCUUCUAAAUGUGAUUUUUGCUGGACUGAAUGACUGAUUGCUUGACUGCUUGAGUAGUUUGUGGUUGCUGAAAAGAAAUAAGUUUGGAAGGUUAUUUAGUUGAUUAUUAUGAAAAAUGGCUUUUCUUGGUUUUGAAGCUAUUUUUGAUGAUGUAAAGGAAUUGGCUUUGGAAAUGGUUUAAUUUUGAGUUAGUGACUUUAUAAAUGAUUUAGUAUUUGAGCUGGUCUGAUUUUAAAAAGAGGUUUACUAUGGGCACUGAUUCGCUUUGAAAAUUAUUUGAUAUUGGAACUAGCCGAAUCUUAGAAAAUGAUUGAGGUUUUGGAAAGGUUUGAGAAAUGUUUGGAUGGGACCCGAUCAGGGUGGCAGAAUCCGAGUUUUAGAGGAGAUGCUGCCGAAAUUUUAUAAAACUGAAAGUUUUGUUUGAAGUAAUUGUUUAAAAAGAUUUAGUUCUUAAACGUUAUUUGUUUCGGAUUGAUUUAUUUAAAAAAGAAAGAGUUAUGUUUUGAAUUGAGAUUGUUGAUUAACGGAAAGAAGGAUAAUGAGGAUUGAUAUGAAAUAUGAUUUUAGAAUGAAUUUGGAAAUGGGAUAUGAAUUGAUGAAUGAUGGUGAUAUUGAAAAUGGCUUAGAUAUUGAUGAAUGAUGAAUGAAUUGUUUAUAUGGCUUACGAAUUUGAAAUAUCUGAGAUACGAGGUUCCCUGGAUUAAGUGCCGUGGCUUGCCACCACGUGUACCAGGUUGAAAACUCGAUACUCUGUUGACCCUACGAUGUAAGUGUGUGACCGGGCACUAUAUAAAUUCCCGGGAAUGUUAACCCCAUUGAGUAAUAUUGAUUAUUUGAGAAAAAGCUAUGCAUAGACUCUUGGGGAUGCACGUCGGGGGACUGUCUAAGUACAAUUCAGACUUGUCGGGUUGGCUGGAUAACCGACAGAUGAGCCUCAUCAGCCAUAGGACAGGCAUGCAUCAUAUGCAUCUGUAUGCUUUGCUUGGGUUUGAACUUGUUUUGGUUUGCCUAAUUGCUAAACUGUCCUUAACUGCUACUUGAACUAUUUGCUGUAACUGCUUCCUACUUGUGUUUUCCUUGUCUGUCUUGCCUGUGUUUGUCCUGGCGUGUUACAUUUGAGAAUAGAUUUAGGUGCUGAAUUAAUGAUUGUGUUGUUUGAUUGCGUGGUUAGUUUCUGAUUGAGAUUUGCUUAUGAGAAAAGGAAGACUUUGGAUUUCUGAAAAUAUUAAACAUUGUUUCUGUGAAAAUGUUUUAAACGAUUAGCUGUUGGAUUUUAAAAGGAUUCAUAAGGCAACGAUAGU